GAAAUGCGAUAAGUAAUGUGAAUUGCAGAAUUCAGUGAAUCAUCGAAUCUUUGAACGCACAUUGCGCCCCCUGGUAUUACGGGGGGCAUGCCUGUUCGAGCGUCAUUUCACCACUCAAGCCUCGCUUGGUAUUGGGCAACGCGGUCCGCCGCGUGCCUCAAAUCGACCGGCUGGGUCUUCUGUCCCCUAAGCGUUGUGGAAACUAUUCGCUAAAGGGUGUUCGGGAGGCUACGCCGUAAAACAACCCCAUUUCUAAGGUUGACCUCGGAUCAGGUAGGGAUACCCGCUGAACUUAAGC
RNAcentral lists this unclassified non-coding RNA (298 nucleotides) under plant metagenome. RNAcentral describes it as "partial contains 5.8S ribosomal RNA, internal transcribed spacer 2, and large subunit ribosomal RNA". The stretch from base 1 to 105 matches the Rfam family "5.8S ribosomal RNA", at positions 50 to 154 of the family's 154-position model. The record is from RNAcentral.